AACGUAGGAGACCAACGUUAUCCGGAGUUACUGGGCGUAAAGGGCGUGUAGGCGGUUAGUUAAGUCUGGCGUGAAAGCUCUCGGCUAAACCGGGAGAGGUCGUUGGAUACUGGCUGACUAGAGGACGGUAGAGGCGUGUGGAAUUCCGGGUGUAGUGGUGAAAUGCGUAGAGAUCCGGAGGAACACCAGUGGCGAAGGCGACACGCUGGGCCGUACCUGACGCUAAAGCGCGACAGCAUGGGGAGCAAACGGG
RNAcentral lists this ribosomal RNA (253 nucleotides) under uncultured bacterium. RNAcentral's name for it is "partial 16S ribosomal RNA". It matches the Rfam family "Bacterial small subunit ribosomal RNA", at positions 524 to 776 of the family's 1533-position model. The record is from RNAcentral.